Molecule: ribosomal RNA, 1177 nt
Filed under: marine metagenome
Description: bacterial SSU rRNA
Rfam family: Bacterial small subunit ribosomal RNA
Source: RNAcentral
GAGGGGGACUGAGACACGGCCCCCACUCCUACGGGAGGCAGCAGCUAAGAAUAUUGCACAAUGGACGAAAGUCUGAUGCAGCGACACCGCGUGAGGGAUGAAGGUUUUAGGAUUGUAAACCUCUUUUAUUAGGGAAUAGCAAGGAAGGUACCUAAUGAAUAAGCUACGGCUAACUACGUGCCAGCAGCCGCGGUAAUACGUAGGUAGCGAACGUUGUCCGGAAUCACUGGGCGUAAAGGGUCCGUAGGCGGUUUGAUAAGUCUCAUAUGAAAACUUCAAGCUCAACUUGGAGAGGUUGUGAGAUACUGUCAAACUAGAGACUGUUAGAGGUAAGUGGAAUUCCAGGUGUAGUGGUGAAAUGCGUAGAUAUCUGGAGGAACACCAGUGGCGAAAGCGACUUACUGGGACAGUUCUGACGCUAAGGGACGAAAGCGUGGGGAGCGAACCGGAUUAGAUACCCGGGUAGUCCACGCCGUAAACGAUGAUUGCUAGGUUUUCGGGGCAUCGACCCCUCGUGAGCCGAAGUUAACGCGUUAAGCAAUCCGCCUGAGUAGUACGGCCGCAAGGCUAAAACUCAAAGAAAUUGACGGGGGACCGCACAAGCAGCGGAGCGUGUGGUUUAAUUCGAUGGUAAGCGAAGAACCUUACCAGGGUUUGACAUGUAAGUAGUACUGAACCGAAAGGGGAUGGACCCGCAAGGGAGCUUACACAGGUGUUGCAUGGUUGUCGUCAGCUCGUGCCGUGAGGUGUUGGGUUAAGUCCCGCAACGAGCGCAACCCUCUUUGUUAGUUGCACUCUCUAACGAUACUGCCCUUAAAAGGGAGGAAGGUGGGGAUGACGUCAAAUCAUCAUGGCUCUUACACCCUGGGCUACACACACGCUACAAUGGCAAGUACAGACGGUUGCCAACCCGCGAGGGGGAGCUAAUCCGAUAAAACUUGUCUCAGUUGGGAUUAUAGGCUGAAAUUCGCCUAUAUGAACGUGGAGUUGCUAGUAAACGCAGGUCAGCACACUGCGUUGAAUACGUUCCCGGUCCUUGUACACACCGCCCGUCACGUCAUGGAAGUUUGUAACACUUGAAGUCGUUGCGCUAACCCUUUGGGAGGCAGACGCCGAGAGUGGGACGGAUGACUGGGACGAAGUCGUAACAAGGUAGCUGUACCGGAAGGUGCGGCUG